GACAGAGGUGGCAAGCGUUAUUCGGAUUUAUUGGGCGUAAAGGGCGCGUAGGCGGCCAGGUGCGUCCGGUGUGAAAACGCUACCGCUCAACGGAGCGAAUGCGCUGGAUACGAUCUGGCUAGAGUCCGGGAGAGGUGAAUGGAAUUCCUGGUGUAGCGGUGGAAUGCGUAGAUAUCAGGAAGAACACCAGUGGCGAAGGCGGUUCACUGGCCCGGCACUGACGCUGAUGCGCGAAAGCGUGGGGA
This 245-nucleotide ribosomal RNA is filed under the name uncultured bacterium. RNAcentral describes it as "partial 16S ribosomal RNA". It matches the Rfam family "Bacterial small subunit ribosomal RNA", at positions 524 to 767 of the family's 1533-position model. The record is from RNAcentral.